Non-coding RNA from Potamilus streckersoni, 66 nucleotides. The record is from the annotation of a GenBank genome assembly. Lineage: Eukaryota; Metazoa; Mollusca; Bivalvia; Unionida; Unionidae.
GGUGGCCUAGUGGUUUGAGCGUCCGCCUUGGAUGCGGGAUGUCAUGGGUUCGAAUUCCGACAGUCA